UACGUAGGGUGCGAGCGUUAAUCGGAGUUACUGGGCGUAAAGCGUGCGCAGGCGGUUUUAUAAGACAGAUGUGAAAUCCCCGGGCUCAACCCGGGACCUGCCUUUGUGACUGUAUAGCUAGAGUACGGUAGAGGGGGAUGGAAUUCCGCGUGUAGCAGUGAAAUGCGUAGAUAUGCGGAGGAACACCGAUGGCGAAGGCAAUCCCCUGGACCUGUACUGACGCUCAUGCACGAAAGCGUGGGGAGCAAACAGG
This 253-nucleotide ribosomal RNA is filed under the name uncultured bacterium. RNAcentral describes it as "partial 16S ribosomal RNA". It matches the Rfam family "Bacterial small subunit ribosomal RNA", at positions 524 to 776 of the family's 1533-position model. The record is from RNAcentral.